RNAcentral lists this small nuclear RNA (37 nucleotides) under Phaeodactylum tricornutum CCAP 1055/1. Its description in RNAcentral is "snRNA PTsRNA00015a". Lineage: Eukaryota; Bacillariophyta; Bacillariophyceae; Surirellales; Neidiaceae. The record is from RNAcentral.
GGACAUGAAGAAGAAACACUUUGCGACAACUGUAUAU